AUUGAACGCUGGCGGCAGGCUUAACACAUGCAAGUCGAGCGGAGUGAUGGUGCUUGCACUAUCACUUAGCGGCGGACGGGUGAGUAAUGCUUUGGAAUCUGCCUAUUAGUGGGGGACAACACCUCGAAAGGGAUGCUAAUACCGCAUACGUCCUACGGGAGAAAGCAGGGGAUCACUUGUGACCUUGCGCUAAUAGAUGAGCCUAAGUCGGAUUAGCUAGUUGGUGGGGUAAAGGCCUACCAAGGCGACGAUCUGUAGCGGGUCUGAGAGGAUGAUCCGCCACACUGGGACUGAGACACGGCCCAGACUCCUACGGGAGGCAGCAGUGGGGAAUAUUGGACAAUGGGGGGAACCCUGAUCCAGCCAUGCCGCGUGUGUGAAGAAGGCCUUAUGGUUGUAAAGCACUUUAAGCGAGGAGGAGGCUCUUUUGUUAAUACCCAAGAUGAGUGGACGUUACUCGCAGAAUAAGCACCGGCUAACUCUGUGCCAGCCGCCGCCGUAA
Molecule: ribosomal RNA, 502 nt
Filed under: uncultured bacterium
Lineage: Bacteria
Description: partial 16S ribosomal RNA
Rfam family: Bacterial small subunit ribosomal RNA
Source: RNAcentral